RNAcentral lists this long non-coding RNA (227 nucleotides) under Gossypium barbadense (sea-island cotton). RNAcentral describes it as "long non-coding RNA (GBAR_LNC001646)". The record is from RNAcentral. Lineage: Eukaryota; Viridiplantae; Streptophyta; Magnoliopsida; Malvales; Malvaceae.
UCAAAUGGGAGAUUCGUUUAAUAAACUCAUCUCUUAUAAUGAUCAUGGUAAACUUUAACGAAGAACUACCGUUUGUGUGACUAGGUAAUCCAUUAGAUAGAUCCAAGUAUAGGCAUGUUAGAAAGUUGUAACACAUUGAAUCUACAAUCAGGUGUGGAUUUUAACAUUAAAUAAAAAAAACCUAUAUUUGAUGAGAAUACUUUAUAUAUCCAUUAGAGAGAUAAAAC